CAGCAGCCACGGUAAUACGUAGGGUGCAAGCGUUAAUCGGAAUUACUGGGCGUAAAGCGUGCGCAGGCGGUUAUUCAAGACAGAUGUGAAAUCCCCGGGCUCAACCUGGGAACUGCAUUUGAUACGUGCUGUCUAGAGUGAGGAAGAGGGUCGUGGAAUUCCCAGUGUAGAGGUGAAAUUCGUAGAUAUUGGGAAGAACACCGGUGGCGAAGGCGGCGACCUGGUCCUUGACUGACGCUGAGGCGCGAAAGCAUGGGGAGCAAGCAGGAUUAGAUACCCCCGUAGUCCCUGUCUCUUAUAC
RNAcentral lists this ribosomal RNA (301 nucleotides) under uncultured bacterium. Its description in RNAcentral is "partial 16S ribosomal RNA". It matches the Rfam family "Bacterial small subunit ribosomal RNA", at positions 509 to 807 of the family's 1533-position model. The record is from RNAcentral.